RNAcentral lists this ribosomal RNA (253 nucleotides) under uncultured bacterium. RNAcentral's name for it is "partial 16S ribosomal RNA". It matches the Rfam family "Bacterial small subunit ribosomal RNA", at positions 524 to 776 of the family's 1533-position model. The record is from RNAcentral.
UACGUAGGGUGCGAGCGUUAAUCGGAAUUACUGGGCGUAAAGCGUGCGCAGGCGGUUUCGUAAGACAGAGGUGAAAUCCCCGGGCUCAACCUGGGAACUGCCUUUGUGACUGCGAGGCUAGAGUAUGGCAGAGGGGGGUGGAAUUCCACGUGUAGCAGUGAAAUGCGUAGAUAUCAGGAGGAACACCGAUGGCGAAGGCAGCCCCCUGGGCCUGUACUGACGCUCAUGCACGAAAGCGUGGGGAGCAAACAGG